AUUUUAUAUAAAGUAAGAUGUUUAUUUUUUAAGAAGUUAGUAGCUAAAAUUAUCAAAUAAAGGAAAUAUAUAUAACUAUGAAUUUUAGUAUUUGAAAUUAUAAAUAUAUAUAAAAUAUUACAUAAUCACCAAACAAAUAGUUUAAAAUUAUAAUAAAAUAUUUUUAUUUUAUGCUCCAUCCGUUUCUGAAAGUAAGAUUUUUUAGAGUUUUUACAUUUAUUAAGAAUAUAAUAAAUAUUUACAAUUUAUUUCUCAAUACACUUUCUAAUAAAUAUCCACCAAUAAAUUUAAUCAGUUCAAACAUUUACAAUUAAUGUUUGUUAAAAGUAUACAAAAAUACCUUAAAAAUAUAGAAAAUCUAUUUUCGUGGAAAAAAAUAAACUCUAGAAAAUCUUACUUCGAGAAAUGAGAGAAUACUAUUUUUGUUAAAACCGCACUACUUUUUUUUAUAAAAACCGCACUUAUCCUGCAAACCACAUAAACCGUUAUUGCACCGCACCGCACUUCAAUUCCGCUUCGUUUGCCAAAUCCGCCAUUACCGAUCCUGUAAGUCUCUCAUCAAA
RNAcentral lists this long non-coding RNA (563 nucleotides) under Brassica napus (rape). RNAcentral's name for it is "long non-coding RNA (BNAP_LNC016120)". Lineage: Eukaryota; Viridiplantae; Streptophyta; Magnoliopsida; Brassicales; Brassicaceae. The record is from RNAcentral.